CAAGGAAUAAUAACUUUUGCUCAUGGAGUUGGAAUUUGACAAAUCAUAUGUGCUUUUUGGGUAGAAAACGUGAGCUAUCCAAUGCUCCUAGCUAUUUCUAAAAGGUAAGACCUCUAAAUCCAAAAAAAAGAUCGUUUACUAUUUCUUUUUUAUUUUUGAAGUUUUAUUUUUACCGUUUUUCACACUUUCCUGUGUUGAUUGACAUAGUUUCACUUUGAGUUUUGCUUCGAAUUUUUUUUUGCUAUCUUUCAGCCCAUUUUGAAUUGAUUUGCAUAUACUUUAUAUUUACCCCCCUAUGUUUUCAGUGUCUUGACUUUUGCUGAUAGAGUUGACUUACUACAUCACUAGGGUCAAUCUUGGGCCAUUACCAUCCUUUGAUCCUGAAUUUGGUAGGACUUUUCAUAGAUUAUAUAGGAAUUUUAGGAAUUUGUAGUCUUUGCAUUUAGAUAGCUUUAGUUCAUAAUUCAUUGCAUUCUCCUUCUCCUUGUCUACCUAUUUCAGUUUUAUGUAUACUACUAAUUCUGCCAGUGCCCCUAAUUAUGAUUCUCCUUCUGCAUCUAACUCUGGUUAUGGCUCUCAUGUCUAUU
This 587-nucleotide long non-coding RNA is filed under the name Vigna radiata. RNAcentral's name for it is "long non-coding RNA (VRAD_LNC012657)". Lineage: Eukaryota; Viridiplantae; Streptophyta; Magnoliopsida; Fabales; Fabaceae. The record is from RNAcentral.